This 432-nucleotide unclassified non-coding RNA is filed under the name soil metagenome. Its description in RNAcentral is "partial contains 5.8S ribosomal RNA, internal transcribed spacer 2, and large subunit ribosomal RNA". The stretch from base 1 to 120 matches the Rfam family "5.8S ribosomal RNA", at positions 35 to 154 of the family's 154-position model. The record is from RNAcentral.
GAUGAAGAACGCAUCGAAAUGCGAUACGUAAUGUGAAUUGCAGAAUUCAGUGAAUCAUCGAAUCUUUGAACGCAUAUUGCGCUCUCUGGUAUUCCGGAGAGCAUGCUUGUUUGAGUAUCAGUAAACACCUCAACUUCCAUAUCUUUUUUGAAAUGGGAGUUGGACUUGAGUGAUCCCAACGCUUUUCCUCACCGAAAAGUGGCGGGUUACUUGAAAUGCAGGUGCAGCUGGACUUUUCUCUGAGCUAUAAGCAUAUCUAUUUAGUCUGCCUAAAAACAGAUUAUUACCUUUGCUGCAGCUAACAUAAAGGAGAUUAGUUCUUGUGCUGACUGAUGCAGGAUUCACAAAGACAGGCUUCGGCCGACUUUGUAAACUCGAUCUCAAAUCAAGUAAGACUACCCGCUGAACUUAAGCAUAUCAAUAAGCGGAGGA